GGCUCUGGUGAACAUCACACUGCCUUGUCAAGGCAGAAUUGUGGGUUAAAACCCCGCGUAGCCU
RNAcentral lists this transfer RNA (64 nucleotides) under Melanogrammus aeglefinus (haddock). RNAcentral describes it as "tRNA-Asp". It matches the Rfam family "tRNA". Rfam says of the family: Transfer RNA (tRNA) molecules are approximately 80 nucleotides in length. Their secondary structure includes four short double-helical elements and three loops (D, anti-codon, and T loops). Lineage: Eukaryota; Metazoa; Chordata; Actinopteri; Gadiformes; Gadidae. The record is from RNAcentral.